UUUAUCAUAGGACAAACAAGGUCAAAGGCCCUUAGGGAAAAAAAAUUAGAAUUUUUAAAGACUUUAUUUUUAAAAAUUAAAAAUAAUCACAAAAUCAAUUAAAUCAUGAAAAAUAUUAAUAAUGAUCCAAAAAACAAAUUUUAAUUCAGAAUAUGAAAGAGGAAAUUAUUUGAAAAUUUUUGGUGAAACUCUCAUAUUUUUUUGAUCAAUAAUAAAA
This 217-nucleotide long non-coding RNA is filed under the name Lathyrus oleraceus (garden pea). Its description in RNAcentral is "Pisum sativum (pea) long non-coding RNA (PSAT_LNC032572)". The record is from RNAcentral. Lineage: Eukaryota; Viridiplantae; Streptophyta; Magnoliopsida; Fabales; Fabaceae.